RNAcentral lists this ribosomal RNA (301 nucleotides) under uncultured bacterium. RNAcentral's name for it is "partial 16S ribosomal RNA". It matches the Rfam family "Bacterial small subunit ribosomal RNA", at positions 509 to 807 of the family's 1533-position model. The record is from RNAcentral.
CAGCAGCCACGGGAAUACGGAGGGUGCAAGCGUUAAUCGGAAUUACUGGGCGUAAAGCGCACGCAGGCGGUCUGACAAGUCAGAUGUGAAAUCCCCGGGCUUAACCUGGGAACUGCAUUUGAAACUGUCAGGCUGGAGUCUUGUAGAGGGGGGUGGAAUUCCAGGUGUAGCGGUGAAAUGCGUAGAGAUCUGGAGGAAUACCGGUGGCGAAGGCGGCCCCCUGGACAAGGACUGACGCUCAGGUGCGAAAGCGUGGGGAGCAAACAGGAUUAGAUACCCCUGUAGUCCCUGUCUCUUAUAC